Molecule: ribosomal RNA, 1391 nt
Filed under: Escherichia coli
Lineage: Bacteria; Pseudomonadati; Pseudomonadota; Gammaproteobacteria; Enterobacterales; Enterobacteriaceae
Description: partial 23S ribosomal RNA
Rfam family: Bacterial large subunit ribosomal RNA
Source: RNAcentral
CAAGGCUGAGGCGUGAUGACGAGGCACUACGGUGCUGAAGCAACAAAUGCCCUGCUUCCAGGAAAAGCCUCUAAGCAUCAGGUAACAUCAAAUCGUACCCCAAACCGACACAGGUGGUCAGGUAGAGAAUACCAAGGCGCUUGAGAGAACUCGGGUGAAGGAACUAGGCAAAAUGGUGCCGUAACUUCGGGAGAAGGCACGCUGAUAUGUAGGUGAAGCGACUUGCUCGUGGAGCUGAAAUCAGUCGAAGAUACCAGCUGGCUGCAACUGUUUAUUAAAAACACAGCACUGUGCAAACACGAAAGUGGACGUAUACGGUGUGACGCCUGCCCGGUGCCGGAAGGUUAAUUGAUGGGGUUAGCGGUAACGCGAAGCUCUUGAUCGAAGCCCCGGUAAACGGCGGCCGUAACUAUAACGGUCCUAAGGUAGCGAAAUUCCUUGUCGGGUAAGUUCCGACCUGCACGAAUGGCGUAAUGAUGGCCAGGCUGUCUCCACCCGAGACUCAGUGAAAUUGAACUCGCUGUGAAGAUGCAGUGUACCCGCGGCAAGACGGAAAGACCCCGUGAACCUUUACUAUAGCUUGACACUGAACAUUGAGCCUUGAUGUGUAGGAUAGGUGGGAGGCUUUGAAGUGUGGACGCCAGUCUGCAUGGAGCCGACCUUGAAAUACCACCCUUUAAUGUUUGAUGUUCUAACGUUGGCCCGUUAUCCGGGUUGCGGACAGUGUCUGGUGGGUAGUUUGACUGGGGCGGUCUCCUCCUAAAGAGUAACGGAGGAGCACGAAGGUUGGCUAAUCCUGGUCGGACAUCAGGAGGUUAGUGCAAUGGCAUAAGCCAGCUUGACUGCGAGCGUGACGGCGCGAGCAGGUGCGAAAGCAGGUCAUAGUGAUCCGGUGGUUCUGAAUGGAAGGGCCAUCGCUCAACGGAUAAAAGGUACUCCGGGGAUAACAGGCUGAUACCGCCCAAGAGUUCAUAUCGACGGCGGUGUUUGGCACCUCGAUGUCGGCUCAUCACAUCCUGGGGCUGAAGUAGGUCCCAAGGGUAUGGCUGUUCGCCAUUUAAAGUGGUACGCGAGCUGGGUUUAGAACGUCGUGAGACAGUUCGGUCCCUAUCUGCCGUGGGCGCUGGAGAACUGAGGGGGGCUGCUCCUAGUACGAGAGGACCGGAGUGGACGCAUCACUGGUGUUCGGGUUGUCAUGCCAAUGGCACUGCCCGGUAGCUAAAUGCGGAAGAGAUAAGUGCUGAAAGCAUCUAAGCACGAAACUUGCCCCGAGAUGAGUUCUCCCUGACUCCCUGAGAGUCCUGAAGGAACGUUGAAGACGACGACGUUGAUAGGCCGGGUGUGUAAGCGCAGCGAUGCGUUGAGCUAACCGGUACUAAUGAACCGUGAGG